UGGGGAAUUUUGGACAAUGGGCGAAAGCCUGAUCCAGCAAUGCCGCGUGUGUGAAGAAGGCCUUCGGGUUGUAAAGCACUUUUGUCCGGAAAGAAAUCCUUGGCUCUAAUACAGUCGGGGGAUGACGGUACCGGAAGAAUAAGCACCGGCUAACUACGUGCCAGCAGCCGCGGUAAUACGUAGGGUGCAAGCGUUAAUCGGAAUUACUGGGCGUAAAGCGUGCGCAGGCGGUUUGCUAAGACCGAUGUGAAAUCCCCGGGCUCAACCUGGGAACUGCAUUGGUGACUGGCAGGCUAGAGUAUGGCAGAGGGGGGUAGAAUUCCACGUNUAGCAGUGAAAUGCGUAGAGAUGUGGAGGAAUACCGAUGGCGAAGGCAGCCCCCUGGGCAAUACUGACGCUCAUGCACGAAAGCGUGGGGAGCAAACAGGAUUAGAUACCCUGGUAGUCCACGCCCUAAAACGAUGUCAACUAGUUGUUGGGGAUUCAUUUCCUAGUAACGUAGCUAACGCGUGAAGUUGACCGCCUGGGGAGUACGGUCGCAAGAUUAAAACUCAAAUGAAUUG
RNAcentral lists this ribosomal RNA (563 nucleotides) under uncultured bacterium. RNAcentral describes it as "partial 16S ribosomal RNA". It matches the Rfam family "Bacterial small subunit ribosomal RNA", at positions 355 to 912 of the family's 1533-position model. The record is from RNAcentral.